CAAUAGCGUAUAUUAAAAUUGUUGCGGUUAAAACGCUCGUAGUUGGAUAUCUGCUAAGGGGUUCCGGUCCUUCCCAGUGAAGAAUACGCGGAACUCUUCUUGGCAUUUAUUCAGGGAAGGUGUUUGCACUUUGUUGUGUGUCACAUGAUCUGAAUUUUUACUUUGAGGAAAUGAGAGUGUUUCAAGCAGGCUUUCGCCGUGAAUAUGAUAGCAUGGAAUAAUAGCACAGGACCCCUUUCCAAAGCUGUUGGUUUUUGGAACGAGGUAAUCAGAAUAAGGAUAGUUGGGGGUAUUCGUAUUUAACUGUCAGAGGUGAAAUUCUUGGAUUUUUUAAAGACGAACUAUUGCGAAGGCAUCUGCCCAGGAUUG
Molecule: ribosomal RNA, 369 nt
Filed under: uncultured eukaryote
Lineage: Eukaryota
Description: SSU rRNA
Rfam family: Eukaryotic small subunit ribosomal RNA
Source: RNAcentral